Molecule: ribosomal RNA, 253 nt
Filed under: uncultured bacterium
Lineage: Bacteria
Description: partial 16S ribosomal RNA
Rfam family: Bacterial small subunit ribosomal RNA
Source: RNAcentral
UACGUAGGGUGCGAGCGUUAAUCGGAAUUACUGGGCGUAAAGCGCACGUAGGCGGCGCAGCAAGUCAGGGGUGAAAUCCCGGAGCUCAACUCCGGAACUGCCUUUGAAACUGCAGUGCUAGAAUCCUGGAGAGGCGAGUGGAAUUCCGAGUGUAGAGGUGAAAUUCGUAGAUAUUCGGAAGAACACCAGUGGCGAAGGCGACUCGCUGGACAGGUAUUGACGCUGAGGUGCGAAAGCGUGGGGAGCAAACAGG